This is a long non-coding RNA of Jaculus jaculus (lesser Egyptian jerboa), 1082 nucleotides long. RefSeq lists it as uncharacterized. The record is from RefSeq and is a predicted model, not a curated record. The transcript has 3 exons. Lineage: Eukaryota; Metazoa; Chordata; Mammalia; Rodentia; Dipodidae.
AGGACACAUUGCAACGCGACAGCGACUGCGAGCGGAAGCCGCCGCCGCCGCCCGCUCCGGAGAGGCGCGCGGACAGCCGGGCGCCGUCCCCGAACACCUUGCGGUAGGAGGAGGAGGAGGAGGAGGCGGAGCACAGGGUCCUAGCACAUAGCCCUGGCUGGCCUGGAACUUGCCGUGUUGCUCAGGUUGGCUGUCGUGGCUGUCUUCUCGUGGCUGACACAGAACACCUGAACAAAAACAUCUGCGAGAGGAGAAGUUUUAGUUUGGCUUACGGUCUCCAGGGGAAGCUUCGUGAUGGUAAGGAGAAGAUGGCCUGAGCAGAGCUGGGCAUCACUUCUGCUGCAGCAGGUGGAAAACAGCAGUGAGAGACUAAGCAGAGGACUGGCAAGGGGGAGCUGGCUCUAACACCCCUAAGCCCACCACCACCAACACACGUCUUUCAACAAGGCUCAACUUCCCAAAUUACCAGCAGCUGGGGACCACCAUUCAGAGCAUCUGAGUUUAUGGGGGUCAUCUAAUUCAAACUGCCACACUGGCCUUGAACUAAUGGUAAUCCUCAGGACUCCACACACUAAGUAUUUUUUUUUUUUUUUUGAGGCAAGGUCUCACUGCAAUCCAGGCUGAUCAGGAACUCAUUCUGUAACACCAGGCUGGCCUUGAACUCACAGCGAUUUUCCUAUCUUAAUCCCCAGAGUGCUGGGAUUAAAGGCAUGCACCAUAACACCUGGGCAAGUAUUGGCAUUGUAGAUGUGUGCUUCUGACAGAUGGCCUACCCGACACCAUCCUCGAGAUCUACUAUCUCCUCAUCCAAGUAAGCAAAGCAAGAGACAUGCGAUUGUUUUUAUUAAAUGGCAGUGACCACCUGGGAAACUCAAAACUCACUCAAGUGCUGAGAAGUGACAGUGGUGUGUUUAGCCCUGAGACAUCUCAAUCCCGCCCUCCAAGCUUGGGAACCAUUGUGAGAGAGGUGGAGGAAAGAAUGUAAGAGGAGCCAAAGGAAGGGGAGAAGCUUUGCUAUUCUGUCUUCCAGACCCAAAGUGGCUGAGAACUACCUACACAAGACCUGCGUAAGAGGAGGGGGA